This 57-nucleotide ribosomal RNA is filed under the name Viscaria vulgaris (clammy campion). RNAcentral describes it as "partial 28S ribosomal RNA". RNAcentral also lists the same sequence under 1 other name. The record is from RNAcentral. Lineage: Eukaryota; Viridiplantae; Streptophyta; Magnoliopsida; Caryophyllales; Caryophyllaceae.
GCGACCCCAGGUCAGGCGGGGCUACCCGCUGAAUUUAAGCAUAUCAAUAAGCGGAGG